GACGAACGCUGGCGGCGUGCUUAACACAUGCAAGUCGAACGGAAAGGCCCUGCUUUUGUGGGGUGCUCGAGUGGCGAACGGGUGAGUAACACGUGAGUAACCUGCCCUUGACUUUGGGAUAACUUCAGGAAACUGGGGCUAAUACCGGAUAGGAGCUCCUGCUGCAUGGUGGGGGUUGGAAAGUUUCGGCGGUUGGGGAUGGACUCGCGGCUUAUCAGCUUGUUGGUGGGGUAGUGGCUUACCAAGGCUUUGACGGGUAGCCGGCCUGAGAGGGUGACCGGCCACAUUGGGACUGAGAGACGGCCCAGACGCGUACGGGAGGCAGUAGUGGGGAAUAUUGCACAAUGGGCGGAAGCCGGAUGCAGCAACGCCGCGUGCGGGAUGACGGCCUUCGGGUUGAAAACCGCUUUCGCCUGUGACGAAGCGUGAGUGACGGUAAUGGGUAAAGAAGCACCGGCUAACUACGUG
Molecule: ribosomal RNA, 468 nt
Filed under: uncultured bacterium
Lineage: Bacteria
Description: partial 16S ribosomal RNA
Rfam family: Bacterial small subunit ribosomal RNA
Source: RNAcentral